CCUACGGGUGGCUGCAGUGAGGAAUAUUGGUCAAUGGGAGAGAUCCUGAACCAGCCAAGCCGCGUGAGGGAAGACGGCCCUAUGGGUUGUAAACCUCUUUUGUCGGGGAACAAAACCCGGGACGUGUCCCGGACUGCGUGUAUCCGGAGAAAAAGCAUCGGCUAACUCCGUGCCAGCAGCCGCGGUAAUACGGAGGAUGCGAGCGUUAUCCGGAUUUAUUGGGGUUAAAGGGUGCGGAGGCGGUGCGUUAAGUCAGCGGUAAAAUUGCGGGGCCCAACCCCGUCGGGCCGUUGAAACUGGCAGACUGGAGUGGGCGAGAAGUACGCGGAAUGCGUGGUGUAGCGGUGAAAUGCAUAGAUAUCGCGCAGAACUCCGAUUGCGAAGGCAGCGUACUGG
RNAcentral lists this ribosomal RNA (396 nucleotides) under uncultured bacterium. RNAcentral describes it as "partial 16S ribosomal RNA". It matches the Rfam family "Bacterial small subunit ribosomal RNA", at positions 338 to 732 of the family's 1533-position model. The record is from RNAcentral.